This 148-nucleotide non-coding RNA is filed under the name Gorilla gorilla gorilla (western lowland gorilla). Lineage: Eukaryota; Metazoa; Chordata; Mammalia; Primates; Hominidae. The record is from Rfam by way of RNAcentral.
GCCGGGCAUGAUGGUGCAUGCCUGUAAUCCCAGCUUCUCGGGAGGCUGAGGCAGGAGAAUUGCUUGAACCCGGGGGGCGGAGGUUGCAGUGAGCCGAGAUCACACCACUACAUUCCAGCCUGGGUGACAGAGCAAGACCCUGUCUCAA